CAUGCAAGUCGAACGAGAAAGUCCCUUCGUGGGGCGAGUACAGUGGCGAAAGGGUGAGCCAUAUAUAGGUAACCUACCUCUUGGAUCGGGAUAAUUCCUGGAAACGGGUUGUAAUACCGAACGGUCCUCCCGGGUCGCAUGGCCUGGUUGGUAAAUGGUAGCUCUGCUUCUGCCGAGAGAGGGGCCUAUGUCCUAUUAUCUUGUUGGUGAGGUAACGGCUCACCAAGGCGAUGAUGGGUAGCCGGACUGAGAGGUUGGCCGGUCACACUGGGACUGAGACACUGCCCAGACUCCUACGGGAGGCUGCAGUCGAGAAUCUUCCGCAAUGGGCGAAAGCCUGACGGGGCGACUCCGCGUGAACAAAGAAUGCCUUCGGGUUGUAAAGUUCCGUCAGGAGGGAAGAAAAUUCUUUGGUUAAUAGCCUUCUGGCUUGACGUUACCUCUGGAGGAAGCCCUGGCUAACUCCGUGCCAGCACGCGCGGUAAUACAGAGAGGGCAAGCGUUGUUCGGAAUCACU
This 517-nucleotide ribosomal RNA is filed under the name uncultured marine bacterium. Its description in RNAcentral is "bacterial SSU rRNA". It matches the Rfam family "Bacterial small subunit ribosomal RNA", at positions 54 to 555 of the family's 1533-position model. The record is from RNAcentral.